Molecule: ribosomal RNA, 280 nt
Filed under: uncultured bacterium
Lineage: Bacteria
Description: partial 16S ribosomal RNA
Rfam family: Bacterial small subunit ribosomal RNA
Source: RNAcentral
AUUGAACGCUGGCGGCAGGCCUAACACAUGCUAGUCGAGCGGUAACAGGGGAAGCUUGCUUCCCGCUGACGAGCGGCGGACGGGUGAGUAAUGUAUGGGGAUCUGCCCGAUAGAGGGGGAUAACCACUGGAAACGGUGGCUAAUACCGCAUAAUCUCUUAGGAGCAAAGCAGGGGAACUUCGGUCCUUGCGCUAUCGGAUGAACCCAUAUGGGAUUAGCUAGUAGGUGGGGUAAUGGCUCACCUAGGCGACGAUCCCUAGCUGGUCUGAGAGGAUGAUCA